This 258-nucleotide ribosomal RNA is filed under the name uncultured Gardnerella sp. RNAcentral describes it as "partial 16S ribosomal RNA". It matches the Rfam family "Bacterial small subunit ribosomal RNA", at positions 98 to 356 of the family's 1533-position model. Lineage: Bacteria; Bacillati; Actinomycetota; Actinomycetes; Bifidobacteriales; Bifidobacteriaceae. The record is from RNAcentral.
CGGAACGGGUGAGUAAUGCGUGACCAACCUCGCCCCAUGCUCCAGAAUAGCUCUUGGAAACGGGUGGUAAUGCUGGAUGCUCCAACUUGACGCAUGUCUUGUUGGGAAAGUGUUUAGUGGCAUGGGAUGGGGUCGCGUCCUAUCAGCUUGUAGGCGGGGUAAUGGCCCACCUAGGCUUCGACGGGUAGCCGGCCUGAGAGGGCGGACGGCCACAUUGGGACUGAGAUACGGCCCAGACUCCUACGGGAGGCAGCAGUG